Molecule: ribosomal RNA, 382 nt
Filed under: uncultured Parcubacteria group bacterium
Lineage: Bacteria
Description: bacterial SSU rRNA
Rfam family: Bacterial small subunit ribosomal RNA
Source: RNAcentral
CGCAAUGGGCGAAAGUCUGACGGAGCGACGCCGCGUGAUUGAUGAAGCUUUUCGGAGUGUAAAGAUCUUUUAUGAGGGAAGAAGUUUAUUGACGGUACCUCAUGAAUAAGGGGCUCCUAAUCUCGUGCCAGCAGGAGCGGUAAUACGAGAGCCCCGAGCGUUAUCCGGAAUUAUUGGGCGUAAAGGGUGCGUAGGCGGUUUUGUUAGUCGUUUGUUAAAUCUCUAGGCUUAACCUAGAACUCGCGAGCGAAACGGCAAAACUAGAAAGUGUGAGGGGUGUACAGAACUCAUGGUGUAGGGGUGAAAUCCGUUGAUAUCAUGGGGAAUACCAAAAGCGAAGGCAGUACACUGGCACAUAUUUGACGCUCAAGCACCAAAGCGU